This 77-nucleotide transfer RNA is filed under the name Brucella ovis ATCC 25840. Its description in RNAcentral is "tRNA-Gly". It matches the Rfam family "tRNA". From Rfam's summary of the family: Transfer RNA (tRNA) molecules are approximately 80 nucleotides in length. Lineage: Bacteria; Pseudomonadati; Pseudomonadota; Alphaproteobacteria; Hyphomicrobiales; Brucellaceae. The record is from RNAcentral.
AGCGGGUGUAGCUCAGGGGUAGAGCACAACCUUGCCAAGGUUUGGGUCGAGGGUUCGAAUCCCUUCGCCCGCUCCAG